Molecule: ribosomal RNA, 270 nt
Filed under: uncultured archaeon
Lineage: Archaea
Description: partial 16S ribosomal RNA
Rfam family: Archaeal small subunit ribosomal RNA
Source: RNAcentral
CUGCAGCUCAAGUGGUAGCCGCUAUUAUUGGGCCUAAAACGUUCGUAGCCGGUUUAGUAAAUGCUUGGGUAAAUUGUGUCGCUUAACGAUACGAAUACCGGGUAGACUGCUAAACUUGGGACCGGGAGAGGCUAGAGGUACUCCUGGGGUAGAGGUGAAAUUCUGUAAUCCUGGGGGGACCACCAGUGGCGAAGGCGUCUAGCUAGAACGGGUCUGACGGUGAGGGACGAAGCCCUGGGGCGCAAACCGGAUUAGAUACCCGUGUAGUCC